This 398-nucleotide ribosomal RNA is filed under the name Priestia megaterium. RNAcentral describes it as "bacterial SSU rRNA". It matches the Rfam family "Bacterial small subunit ribosomal RNA", at positions 55 to 443 of the family's 1533-position model. Lineage: Bacteria; Bacillati; Bacillota; Bacilli; Caryophanales; Bacillaceae. The record is from RNAcentral.
UUGCAGUCGAGCGACUGAUUAGAAGCUUGCUUCUAUGACGUUAGCGGCGGACGGGUGAGUAACACGUGGGCAACCUGCCUGUAAGACUGGGAUAACUUCGGGAAACCGAAGCUAAUACCGGAUAGGAUCUUCUCCUUCAUGGGAGAUGAUUGAAAGAUGGUUUCGGCUAUCACUUACAGAUGGGCCCGCGGUGCAUUAGCUAGUUGGUGAGGUAACGGCUCACCAAGGCAACGAUGCAUAGCCGACCUGAGAGGGUGAUCGGCCACACUGGGACUGAGACACGGCCCAGACUCCUACGGGAGGCAGCAGUAGGGAAUCUUCCGCAAUGGACGAAAGUCUGACGGAGCAACGCCGCGUGAGUGAUGAAGGCUUUCGGGUCGUAAAACUCUGUUGUUAGG